RNAcentral lists this transfer RNA (72 nucleotides) under Dipodomys ordii (Ord's kangaroo rat). It matches the Rfam family "tRNA". Rfam says of the family: Transfer RNA (tRNA) molecules are approximately 80 nucleotides in length. Their secondary structure includes four short double-helical elements and three loops (D, anti-codon, and T loops). Lineage: Eukaryota; Metazoa; Chordata; Mammalia; Rodentia; Heteromyidae. The record is from Rfam by way of RNAcentral.
GGAGGGGUAGCUCAGUGGUAGAGCAGCUGCCUAGCAAGAAUAGGGUCCUAGGUUCAAACCCUAGUACUUCCC